UCCUACUAGGCCUAUGCCUCUAGGGCAUGGCUAGGCUUAAUGCCUUAGUAGGAUAGGCAUAUCAAGCCUUUGGCCAGGCCUAUUUAGUACUAGCACAUCAGUUACUUCACCCACCGCCCGGUGUGGUGCAUCAAAAAAUCUAAAAGUGCAUCGAUCCAGUGGCAGUAGGGCAUUUCCCUUCAGAAAUUGGCCUGAAUAAGUAAGUUAACACUAUUGUUUUAAAUAAGUUGAAAAAAUUCAUCUGGAUGUUAAUAGUUAGUAGGUUGUAAAGGUCAUCGCACAUUCAUCUGCUAGACGGAAGUAAUGAAAUGCAGGUUGAGAAUGAGACCUGACAGGUCUUAAAAAUGUUCUAAUGUCCACCUUUGCCGCUGGGGUGCACCUAGAUGUACAAUUAUUUGUAAUAUUUGUUUUAAUGGUAACACAUGCGAUGACAAGACAGGUAUUCUGUAUUUGUGCCCCAGGGUUUAAAGGAGAAAGCUGUGAAAAUAAUAAAAAGCAAAUUGAGGUGAGGCUUUGCUGGUUUAUGAUGAGGUUGCAUCAUUACGGUAUAUGAACAUCUCGACCAUGACCAUAAUGGUUCCCAAUGAGACUGAAAGAUCCUUCUGUCUUUAAAAACGCCCUGGUGCCAUCCUCCCAAAACAGUGGACACAAAGAAUUGCUGAAGAAAUUGUUUAACUAUACAGUGUAAUGAUCAAAGAGAAGAUGACAAUCAAUUAUUUGAAGUAAGGUCAUUUACAAGAUGGAAGGCAGCUGACUCGUGUGGUACAUAAUGCAAGAAUUCCUUUCAUACAUAAUCGAUAAAAGCUAAAAUGGUGCCUGAGGAUCAUUACCAAGCAAGAAGACUGUACAGGCCUUCCUGAUAAAUACACCAAUUCUUGAGGGGA
This is a long non-coding RNA of Anneissia japonica, 884 nucleotides long. RefSeq lists it as uncharacterized. The record is from RefSeq and is a predicted model, not a curated record. The transcript has 8 exons. Lineage: Eukaryota; Metazoa; Echinodermata; Crinoidea; Comatulida; Comatulidae.